CUACGGGGGGCUCCAGUGAAGAAUAUUGCACAAUGGGGGGAACCCUGAUGCAGCAACGCCGCGUGGAGGAUGACGCAUUUCGGUGUGUAAACUCCUUUUAUAUGUCAAGAAAAUGACGGUAGCAUAUGAAUAAGCACCGGCUAACUCCGUGCCAGCAGCCGCGGUAAUACGGAGGGUGCAAGCGUUACUCGGAAUCACUGGGCGUAAAGGACGCGUAGGCGGGUUGGAAAGUCGGGUGUGAAAUCCUACAGCUUAACUGUAGAACUGCACUUGAAACUUCUAAUCUAGAGUAUGGGAGGGGGAGAUGGAAUUAGUGGUGUAGGGGUAAAAUCCGUAGAUAUCACUAGGAAUACCUAAAGCGAAGGCGAUCUCCUGGAACAUUACUGACGCUAAGGCGUGAAAGCGUGGGGAGCAAACAGGAUUAGAUACCCCUGUAGUC
RNAcentral lists this ribosomal RNA (439 nucleotides) under uncultured bacterium. RNAcentral describes it as "partial 16S ribosomal RNA". It matches the Rfam family "Bacterial small subunit ribosomal RNA", at positions 339 to 795 of the family's 1533-position model. The record is from RNAcentral.